This 254-nucleotide ribosomal RNA is filed under the name uncultured bacterium. Its description in RNAcentral is "partial 16S ribosomal RNA". It matches the Rfam family "Bacterial small subunit ribosomal RNA", at positions 524 to 776 of the family's 1533-position model. The record is from RNAcentral.
UACGGGGGGGGCAAGCGUUGUUCGGAAUUACUGGGCGUAAAGGGCUCGUAGGCGGCCAACUAAGUCGGAUGUGAAAUCCCCAGGCUUAACCUGGGAACUGCAUCCGAUACUGGAUGGCUUGAAUCCGGGAGAGGGAUGCAGAAUUCCAGGUGUAGCGGUGAAAUGCGUAGAUAUCUGGAGGAAUACCGGUGGCGAAGGCGGCAUCCUGGACCGGCAUUGACGCUGAGUGAGCGAAAGCUAGGGGAGCAACCGGG